AAGUCGUAACAAGGUUUCCGUAGGUGAACCUGCGGAAGGAUCAUUAAUGAAGUCUGGGCUCCGGCCCUCUCAUCUUCUACACACUUGUGAACUUACACUGUCGCUUGGCAGGUUUCCGGAGGGGCGAAAGCUCUGAAGGUCAGGCGAAAGGCGCCUGCCAAGGACAUUUAAUCCACCCUUUUAUAUUGUCUGAUUUUGUUUUAACAAAUUAUAAUAAAA
RNAcentral lists this unclassified non-coding RNA (219 nucleotides) under plant metagenome. Its description in RNAcentral is "partial contains small subunit ribosomal RNA and internal transcribed spacer 1". The stretch from base 1 to 46 matches the Rfam family "Eukaryotic small subunit ribosomal RNA", at positions 1786 to 1831 of the family's 1831-position model. The record is from RNAcentral.